RNAcentral lists this ribosomal RNA (244 nucleotides) under uncultured Actinomycetales bacterium. RNAcentral describes it as "partial 16S ribosomal RNA". It matches the Rfam family "Bacterial small subunit ribosomal RNA", at positions 89 to 334 of the family's 1533-position model. The record is from RNAcentral. Lineage: Bacteria; Bacillati; Actinomycetota; Actinomycetes; Actinomycetales.
GCUCGAGUGGCGAACGGGUGAGUAACACGUGAGUAACCUGCCCUUGACUUUGGGAUAACUUCAAGAAACUGGGGCUAAUACCGGAUAGGAGCUCCUGCUGCAUGGUGGGGGUUGGAAAGUUUCGGCGGUUGGGGAUGGACUCGCGGCUUAUCAGCUUGUUGGUGGGGUAGUGGCUUACCAAGGCUUUGACGGGUAGCCGGCCUGAGAGGGUGACCGGCCACAUUGGGACUGAGAUACGGCCCAG